This 501-nucleotide ribosomal RNA is filed under the name uncultured bacterium. Its description in RNAcentral is "partial 16S ribosomal RNA". It matches the Rfam family "Bacterial small subunit ribosomal RNA", at positions 29 to 523 of the family's 1533-position model. The record is from RNAcentral.
AUUGAACGCUGGCGGCAUGCCUUACACAUGCAAGUCGAACGGCAGCACGGGUGCUUGCACCUGGUGGCGAGUGGCGAACGGGUGAGUAAUACAUCGGAACGUACCUUAUCGUGGGGGAUAACGCAGCGAAAGCUGUGCUAAUACCGCAUACGCCCUGAGGGGGAAAGCGGGGGAUCGAAAGACCUCGCGCGAUUAGAGCGGCCGAUGCCUGAUUAGCUUGUUGGUGGGGUAAAAGGCCACCAAGGCGACGAUCAGUAGCUGGGCUGAGAGGACGAUCAGCCACACUGGGACUGAGACACGGCCCAGACUCCUACGGGAGGCAGCAGUGAGGAAUUUUGGACAAUGGGGGCAACCCUGAUCCAGCAAUGCCGCGUGAGUGAAGAAGGCCUUCGGGUUGUAAAGCUCUUUUGUCAGGGAAGAAACACCGGCUCUAACACAGUCCGGGAAUGACGGUACCUGAAGAAUAAGCACCGGCUAACUACGUGCCAGCCGCCGCCGUAA